AUGGCAAACCGAGCGGAAUCAUCAUCGGCGGGAUGGACUGGGAAGAACUUGGAGGAUGAUGAGCUCGAUUAUGUGACAGUGGGGGAAGAGGAGGUGAAAAAGUUUGCAGCAGAUGCUAGAUGGCUUGCGAUUGCAAAGGUGAAUACGACCCGCACUUUCAGUUCUUCAGCGAUGUUUGAGUGCAUGAAGUCCAUCUGGUCGCUCGCUCAAGUUCCACAGUAUAGAGAGGCAGGAGAAAAUCUAUUUAUUUUCCAGAUGUUCUGUCUUGGUGAUUGGAAGAAGGUUGUGCAUGGCGGUCCAUGGCUCUUUAGGGGGAUGGGGAUGUUGAUCAAAGACUAUGAUGGCAAAAAGGAACCAACCUCCUGUGAAUUUGAUGGGCUAUACGUCUGGGCACAGAUCCAUAACAUCCCGGAGCUUUACUGGAAAGUGGAGGUUGUAGAUCAGCUAGCCCGCCACAUCGGUCGGGUCAAAGAAACCCAGCUUGCUCCUAGGCUGUUCUAUGAAGGGGAU
RNAcentral lists this ribosomal RNA (510 nucleotides) under Triticum aestivum (bread wheat). RNAcentral describes it as "partial small subunit ribosomal RNA". Lineage: Eukaryota; Viridiplantae; Streptophyta; Magnoliopsida; Poales; Poaceae. The record is from RNAcentral.